Molecule: ribosomal RNA, 253 nt
Filed under: uncultured bacterium
Lineage: Bacteria
Description: partial 16S ribosomal RNA
Rfam family: Bacterial small subunit ribosomal RNA
Source: RNAcentral
UACGGAGGGUGCAAGCGUUACUCGGAAUCACUGGGCGUAAAGGGCGCGUAGGCGGCCUAGCAAGUCUGGUGUGAAAACCCAGGGCUCAACCCUGGAAGGGCACUGGAAACUGUUAGGCUUGAGUUCCGGAGAGGAGGGGGGAAUUCCCGGUGUAGCGGUGAAAUGCGUAGAUAUCGGGAGGAAUACCGGUGGCGAAGGCGCCCCUCUGGACGGAAACUGGCGCUGAGGCGCGAAAGCGUGGGGAGCAAACAUG